RNAcentral lists this long non-coding RNA (534 nucleotides) under Citrus maxima (pomelo). RNAcentral's name for it is "long non-coding RNA (CMAX_LNC004138)". Lineage: Eukaryota; Viridiplantae; Streptophyta; Magnoliopsida; Sapindales; Rutaceae. The record is from RNAcentral.
AAAUAGCUAGACAAAGAGAAUCUCUUGUAUAUAUCAAAGAGAUCUUACAAGUUAAACUGAACCAAACUGAGACCAUCAUACAAAUUGAUCGGGUAAUAACAGUACCCAUACUUUUAUUUUCUUAAACAUAACAUAAGAGACUAAUACUGCAUGUUCUUAACCAGUGUGAUUAGGGUUUCUUCCAUAUUGCGGAACCACAAGAAGAUCAAUAUUUCCAUUAAUUUCAUCAUCAGCAAUAAGUGAAAAAAAUGGGUGACCUACACCCUCCGACCAAUCGGUAUAACCUGAAAAAAUCAUGUUAUAAAACUCAAUCACAAAUACACAUAUUAAAAUAAAGAAUUAUAAAUGACAUUUAUUUGAAAAUGCAUGGCCUAUGUAUAAAACCUGCGCAAGGAGUUCCCAUAAUCUUCAAAUCAGGAAGGCAAAAGAUUUCUGCUGGCUUCGAUUGAACCGUAUUCAAAACUCAAAAGGUAAGUAGUUGUGCUUGAGCGAGUUCUUAUUUCUGGUUUGAUCUGAUAUAUAUAGAUCAAGUAG